This 253-nucleotide ribosomal RNA is filed under the name uncultured bacterium. RNAcentral describes it as "partial 16S ribosomal RNA". It matches the Rfam family "Bacterial small subunit ribosomal RNA", at positions 524 to 776 of the family's 1533-position model. The record is from RNAcentral.
UACGGGGGGGGCAAGCGUUGUUCGGAAUUACUGGGCGUAAAGGGCUCGUAGGUGGCCAACUAAGUCGGACGUGAAAUCCCCAGGCUCAACUUGGGAACUGCGUCCGAUACUGGAUGGCUUGAAUUCGGGAGAGGGAUGCAGAAUUCCAGGUGUAGCGGUGAAAUGCGUAGAUAUCUGGAGGAACACCAGAAGCGAAGGCGGCCAACUGGCCCGAUACUGACGCUGAGGCGCGAAAGCUAGGGGAGCAAACGGG